CGAUAUCAGAUUAGGUAGUUGGUGAGGUAAAGGCUCACCAAGCCGACGAUCUGUAGCUGGUCUGAGAGGACGACCAGCCACACUGGAACUGAGACACGGUCCAGACUCCUACGGGAGGCAGCAGUGGGGAAUUUUGGACAAUGGGCGCAAGCCUGAUCCAGCAAUGCCGCGUGCAGGAUGAAGGCCUUCGGGUUGUAAACUGCUUUUGUACGGAACGAAAAGGCUCUGGUUAAUACCUGGGGUUGAUGACGGUACCGUAAGAAUAAGCACCGGCUAACUACGUGCCAGCAGCCGCGGUAAUACGUAGGGUGCGAGCGUUAAUCGGAAUUACUGGGCGUAAAGCGUGCGCAGGCGGUAAUGCAAGACAGAUGUGAAAUCCCCGGGCUUAACCUGGGAACUGCAUUUGUGACUGCAUUGCUGGAGUGCGGCAGAGGGGGAUGGAAUUCCGCGUGUAGCAGUGAAAUGCGUAGAUAUGCGGAGGAACACCGAUGGCGAAGGCAAUCCCCUGGGCCUGCACUGACGCUCAUGCACGAAAGCGUGGGGAGCAAACAGGAUUAGAUACCCUGGUAGUCCACGCCCUAAACGAUGUCAACUGGUUGUUGGGUCUUCACUGACUCAGUAACGAAGCUAACGCGUGAAGUUGACCGCCUGGGGAGUACGGCCGCAAAGUUGAAACUCAAAGGAAUUGACGGGGACCCGCACAAGCGGUGGAUGAUGUGGUUUAAUUCGAUGCAACGCGAAAAACCUUACCCACCUUUGACAUGUAUGGAAUCCUUUAGAGAUAGAGGAGUGCUCGAAAGAGAGCCAUAACACAGGUGCUGCAUGGCUGUCGUCAGCUCGUGUCGUGAGAUGUUGGGUUAAGUCCCGCAACGAGCGCAACCCUUGUCAUUAGUUGCUACAUUUAGUUGGGCACUCUAAUGAGACUGCCGGUGAUAAACCGGAGGAAGGUGGGGAUGACGUCAAGUCCUCAUGGCCCUUAUAGGUGGGGCUACACACGUCAUACAAUGGCUGGUACAAAGGGUUGCCAACCCGCGAGGGGGAGCUAAUCCCAUAAAACCAGUCGUAGUCCGGAUCGCAGUCUGCAACUCGACUGCGUGAAGUCGGAAUCGCUAGUAAUCGUGGAUCAGAAUGUCACGGUGAAUACGUUCCCGGGUCUUGUACACACCGCCCGUCACACCAUGGGAGCGGGUUCUGCCAGAAGUAGUUAGCCUAACCGCAAGGAGGGCGAUUACCACGGCAGGGUUCG
RNAcentral lists this ribosomal RNA (1246 nucleotides) under metagenome. Its description in RNAcentral is "bacterial SSU rRNA". It matches the Rfam family "Bacterial small subunit ribosomal RNA", at positions 231 to 1471 of the family's 1533-position model. The record is from RNAcentral.